GCAUCAACUACGCCCACACUCCUGAGGAGAGGACUAAUCAGGCAUUGAGUAGAAACACCUGUAGACCAAAGGGUGUGUAGUGUGUGUUUAAACACAACAUGACCUCUUCUUUUGUAAAGCUAACUCUGAAACACAGACUUCAAAAGACCUUUGUUUUGUACUUUCGAAACAGGUCAUCUUACUUUUCGUGGAUAAAGACAGAAACAGAUGGAGAGACAGGGAAAGAGGAGGAGGUGAUGGAGGAUUCAAAAUGCCCAGCAGAAGAACAACAGCUUCCAACCCCAUCCCUCCCUCUCCUCCUCAUCCUCUUCCUCCCCAACGGCCUCCUCUUCGCUCACGUCGCAAAUCCAAGUCACCUUCAUCCCGCUCCAACCACUCGACCCCAAAACGAGCCUUGGACUUGGACAAUAUCGGGGCCCCAACUGACAAAGAGGACAGCAGGCGAGCCCACAGAGGGUCCCGGGACCUCCGGGGGCCUCGGGGUUCAGAACUGGACAGGAAGUGGGAGGGUGUGGCCUUGGAGCUGCGUUGCCGUGGCAGCAGGAUGAGGUCCGCAGUGUACCAGACUUCAGACUCGCCCUCCAUGGUCAAAGCCAAGAAACAGUUGGAACAGAGUGAGGGCAAAGGGCAGAUAGACCGGAGUAAAUUGAAAGCAACCUUUGUUUGAGGAGCUCGACGUUGAGCUGAUUCACAGACCUGAUGAUGUCGCCUGUGACUCUGACCACACUGACGGCGUCUGCAGCAGCUGAAACAUUGUCAAGUUGAGGUGAAGGUCUUAGUGUCAACAACUGUGCAGCUGCUCCCAGACUCUACACCGAGGGCUGCUAUUAGAAGUAUAUAAUAUAGCGAAUAUUGUACUUUUAAUUCAACUGCACCUUUUAUUUUUAUUUAUUUUUACAGCUAUUAUUACAAAAAAAACAUAUUGCCUUUAUAAAAUAUAAUGAAUGUUUAGAUGAAAAUGCCCAGCUCCAAGAACACUUCAGAAAAAAGGAAACAAUUCAAUCUUAUUUUGCUUUAUUCUAUUUGUCUAAAUGUGAAGAUGAAUUGGCAGUGUCAUUCCAAACUCACAGACGGAUGUACGCCACCUCAUGUUUUGAAUAAUAAAGUAUAGUUGUACUGUAUCUCAUUAACUGCAUAAGCAGUAUCUAAAACAUUUAGUUUUUGUAUACAGUAUGUACUAUAUACUAUGUAGUACAUAAUUGGGACACAGUAAUGCACUUGGGCCAGCUGUCAACCUUCUCCAUCACUAUGUGUUGUGUCCUUGCAGAGCAAUACUUUAACACCAGUAGUUCUUUGGUUCUGUAUUUUGACAUAAAUCUGUGAGUUAAAGGGGAACUCAAGGGAUUUAGUAUUGCUCUUCCAAAAACUCGGAUGAUGAUGUGCAAACAGACAAACUCGAAGCAGCACAGGCUGAAAUAUUCUGACUCUCAGUCUUCAUUGUGGGUCAAGCUCUUAAAAUGUUGGCUUCUUUAGUUGUUAUAAUACAACUUCACAGCGUCUUUUGCUAGAUCCUCCUUUACUGGUAAACGCCCACGUCUUUAAAACUCUGCGACCCCAGUUUGCAACACAGACUUAAGAAUGCGCAGCCUUCACCCCUGACGACUACAUCAGGGUUACUUUUCAGAAUUGAACAAACUUGUGCAGAGCCACAGAUGACAUCAUACAGCUGUUUUCACAAACUAAGUAGGCUACUACUAAUCAUGGUGAGGAGACAAAUAAUGAAAACUGUAUCAGUAUUAAAGUUCCUCUUUUACAUGUCAAUCACCUACAUUACAAUUAAAUAUGAACAUUUUGAAAAGAAAACCCAAGGACAUUUCCAGUUGUCUGCGUUACUUAGUAUAACGCUGUGAAGGAAAGACACUUUGUGAGAUAAGUGUUCCAGGCACCAGCUAGUUCAUUCAAUUCACCGGUCGUUCCAGAAAUAAAUGCCCCUGAAAGAGACCCUGGAAGUAAUACCACCCCUAAACAUCCAGUCUUGAGUCAAGUGCCUUGGUCUUACUGUAUAUUGGUAAAUGGAUAUAGCACUUUUGCAAUCUUUGUGACCACUCAAAGUGCUUUACACCACAUGUUGGCUAUGCAAAUUGGGGUACAGUAUCUUACCCAAGGGCCCUUUGACCUGUGGACGACCACUCUACCUCCUGAGCCACAGUUGCUAUAUUACACUGGACCUUGAUGCUGAGAGACAACGGAAUCAGCAGGACUGCUGUAUUCCCUCAUUUUGCAGCCAGGAUGUUCAUAUGAACAUAAUGCAUAAUAAAGUAUUUUCUUGACUAGUAAUCUUGCAUGAUCAUUUAUUUAUUGUUGGGGAUUUGAAGCUAAUUUGCUCAUUUUACAUC
RNAcentral lists this long non-coding RNA (2336 nucleotides) under Cottoperca gobio. RNAcentral's name for it is "lncRNA (ENSCGOG00000019205.1)". Lineage: Eukaryota; Metazoa; Chordata; Actinopteri; Perciformes; Bovichtidae. The record is from RNAcentral.